UUGCAUUGGGGCCACCAACUGUAUUAUAUGUGUAUUGCAACAAUUUGCACGUGUAAUCGAGAAAUAUGCUCAGAGCUGAUCAUCGUAAUCGACCUGAAAUUUAUCACGAUCAUCGAUCACGAUCACAUAAUCGCUCAGGCCUAUGUGUCUCGUUUGGAUCUGUGGUGCA
Long non-coding RNA from Thalassophryne amazonica, 169 nucleotides. RefSeq lists it as uncharacterized. The record is from RefSeq and is a predicted model, not a curated record. The transcript is spliced from 3 exons. NCBI's taxonomy places the organism in Eukaryota, Metazoa, Chordata, Actinopteri, Batrachoidiformes, Batrachoididae.